This 104-nucleotide non-coding RNA is filed under the name Palpitomonas bilix. The record is from RNAcentral.
AAGAAACAGAAACAAGAUGAAAGAAAGGGAGCAUGGAGAAAGGGAAGAUAGAAAAGAUUCAUAUUCUUAUCUGUUUUUUCUAUUCCCCACUCCUGCUUCCUCUU